UUUUAUUUUUGCUUGAAUUUAAUCAUUUUGUUUGAUUAAAUUAGGGUUUUCUCUUAGGGUACGUUCUUAAUAUUCUUCUGGACUAAGAUCUAAUCCAUGCAGCUUUAUAUUUAUACUAGUUAUCUCUAUCCCAACUUUGCCUGGUGCAUGGUGUUUUUACAAAGGAAUUGGUAUUUCCAAUCUUUAGAAACAAGUUUUAAUUAAUCUGGCUAUAGCUAGUUGAUAAAAUUUAAUCUACAGAUUCUUCUUUUGGUUAAUUUGUUUGUACAAAUCGAGGAGCAGUCGUUGUUUGCAAAUGUGGCAUCAUCAAGAUUCACAUGCAACGUACAUAUAUAUUUAUAUAUAUUAUAUGGUUUUGGCCUGAGAAUCCUGAUGAUGCUGCAUUGGCAAUGAAUGGCUAGAUGGAGAACUUUGAUCGGCUUCUUCUCCUUUCCAUCCCAACAUGGUGGUUUCUUUCCCAAUAUUACCAAUAAAUUGAAAGGGUAUCUAUUGGCGGUAUAUAUACCAAUUGGAUCUAAAUCUAAUCCUUCCUAGAUGGAUGACUUGAAGCCUGGCAUCAUGAAGAUGGGAUUGAAAUCUCACUGGCCUUGGAGUUAGAAACAUCCAAGCCUGUAAUUAUCGGGAAUAAUAAAGUGAGAAGACUUUGCUCUCACUCACUCUAUAUAUCUGUAACUUACUGCAUAAUAUAAUGGUAAUUAUUUGAUUCAAGUUUUUUGCA
Molecule: small RNA, 718 nt
Filed under: Theobroma cacao (cacao)
Lineage: Eukaryota; Viridiplantae; Streptophyta; Magnoliopsida; Malvales; Malvaceae
Description: sRNA Tc05v2_g005510
Rfam family: mir-172 microRNA precursor family (bases 286-394)
Source: RNAcentral